RNAcentral lists this ribosomal RNA (527 nucleotides) under uncultured bacterium. RNAcentral's name for it is "bacterial SSU rRNA". It matches the Rfam family "Bacterial small subunit ribosomal RNA", at positions 777 to 1304 of the family's 1533-position model. The record is from RNAcentral.
AAUAGAUACCCAGGUAGUCCACGCCGUAAACGAUGUCGACUUGGAGGUUGUUCCCUUGAGGAGUGGCUUCCGGAGCUAACGCGUUAAGUCGACCGCCUGGGGAGUACGGCCGCAAGGUUAAAACUCAAAUGAAUUGACGGGGGCCCGCACAAGCGGUGGAGCAUGUGGUUUAAUUCGAUGCAACGCGAAGAACCUUACCUACUCUUGACAUCCAGAGAACUUAGCAGAGAUGCUUUGGUGCCUUCGGGAACUCUGAGACAGGUGCUGCAUGGCUGUCGUCAGCUCGUGUUGUGAAAUGUUGGGUUAAGUCCCGCAACGAGCGCAACCCUUAUCCUUUGUUGCCAGCGGUUCGGCCGGGAACUCAAAGGAGACUGCCAGUGAUAAACUGGAGGAAGGUGGGGAUGACGUCAAGUCAUCAUGGCCCUUACGAGUAGGGCUACACACGUGCUACAAUGGCGUAUACAAAGAGAAGCGACCUCGCGAGAGCAAGCGGACCUCGUAAAGUACGUCGUAGUCCGGAUUGGAGU